Molecule: microRNA, 22 nt
Filed under: Homo sapiens (human)
Lineage: Eukaryota; Metazoa; Chordata; Mammalia; Primates; Hominidae
Description: hsa-miR-3689f
Source: miRBase by way of RNAcentral
UGUGAUAUCGUGCUUCCUGGGA